CUCCUCCUCUUCCUCCUCCUCCUCGCUUUUGUGCCCGCCGCGCCCAGCCCCGGCUGCAGCUGUGUCCUGAAGGCCCGGACCAAAGGCUGCACCUGCCAGUCAGGCGCCGGGAUAAGUCCUGUCUGAGCUGCGCUCUGUGAUUAAGACUUGUGUAAAAUGCUUACCGAGUGCCAAGCAGGCGCUCCUCUAUCUAGUGAACCAGAAUACAAGACAUUGAAUUAAAUUCUGGGCCUUUCUGGAAAAAAGAAUCUUCGCGAGCAUCAAGGAGAACUGGGUCAUUCAUUCAUUCAGCAAAAACCUGUACAUGUCUACCAUAUCUGACGUUAAGUAUGGGGGUGGGGAGAUUGUGACAGACUUGUACCAGACUCCCCACUGUUCCAACAUGCCAUAGCACAUUGGUCUGUAAUUCUUACAUUUGUGUUUCCCUGAAAUACCGACCUCUCCUGUUUCAUCCCAAGGAUACAGCAUUCACUCUCCUUUAGGAACUGCCUCUCCCUCCUAAGGAGAACAUUCCUGUCCUCAACUUGUCCCUGGUCUUAUCUUUCAGUCCAUUAGUCCACAAGUCGAGCAUAUUUAUCAAUGAGUGGGUGUGAGAUCAAAUCGGGUGGAGCAGAAUCCUUUCCUGGGCUUGCUACAUAAAGGGCAGGGUAGCAAAUUAGUAUUCUGUUUCCCGAGUGGGAGGGCAUUCUCACUAGCAGACAAUGAAACUAAACUGAAGAUAAGCCCAAAUCGGAGGAAGCCUAGAAGAGGGCACUUUCUGAUGGAAACACAGUAGCAAAACUGUGCCGCUUGCUUUAUUCGCAGGAGGGGGGAAAUCUCAGCCCAGCAUCUUGUCAAAGUUCGCUGCGUGGCUACAGCCACCGCCUUAAGCUGGCUUUCUGUCUCAGUUCAGCAUCCUAGUGUGAGAGCUCAAGAGGAAGUCAUAUGGUUUUAACUUGACACUAAAAUUGGUUAGCAAAAAAAUUAAAGUGGAAAUUAGAGCAAAUAUUAGAUCAGAGUUUGGCAAGCUGCUGUCCGCAGGCCAAUCCCAGCCCACUGAAUUUGAGUGACCACUUUAUAACUGUCCAAAUACUACAUUUUAAAGGACUUUUAAAAAUCUGAUUGCUUUUCAAUUUUGUUCUUUAAGCUCAUGGUCUAAAGUACUAUCAAAGCCUUUACAAGAAAAGUCUGUACAAUCCUGUAAUAGAGCACUCCAUAAAUUGUGAAGAAGGAAGCUAUGUAGCAAAGUACAUUUGGGGGUAUUUUUAAUUGUCCUGCCAUAUAUGGAUUUUUUUUAAUUUUUUGCAAUUUGAGAGAACAUGUAUAAUGACAGUAUCUCUUCUUUUCUUUCCUUAUCCCUAAAUUAUUUCCACUUCUCUACCAAGACCUAUCCUGGGAGACUGAUAUCCAUAGACUUAUCAUUUGGGGCUCCUUGUUUUUGCUUCCUGUUAAGUCAAACCAGGAGAAAAAAAAUCAGAAAGAAGAGAAAAAUGACAGACUCUAUAUUAUGUUCUUUUUCCCUUAUGCUAAACCUAACCAUGAUGGACUGGAGGACAACUUGGAAGGGGCCACUCUUUCCUCCCACUGGUUUCCAGGGACCAAAGGCACACACCUUCGCUCUUUGAGCCAACUCACAGGCCCACGGACAUUUAUUCAAAAUUCACCAGUCAGGAUCACAAAGUUGCUUUAGUUUUUAAGAGUAGCUGUUGCUCUUGCAGAGGGUCUAGGUUACGUUUGCAGGACCCACAUGAUGGCUCACCAUUGUCUGUAAUUCUAUUUCCAGGGCAUGUGAUGCCCUCUCUGGCUUCAGCAAACAUUACACACACAUGUGGUACACAUACACACACUAAAAAUAAAUCUUUUAAAAAAUCACCAA
This is a long non-coding RNA of Meriones unguiculatus (Mongolian gerbil), 1855 nucleotides long. RefSeq lists it as uncharacterized. The transcript has 2 exons. Lineage: Eukaryota; Metazoa; Chordata; Mammalia; Rodentia; Muridae. The record is from RefSeq and is a predicted model, not a curated record.